AGGUCCCCCAAGGACCCACGUCCAGGAGCCAACAGCCUCUCUGUGCAAACCAGACAACCCUGCAGGAACUGUGCUUGAAGAAACCGUGGAAACUGCCCCCAACCCUCCCGUCUCUAUUUCUUUCUCUGUUUUAUUAUCUCAUUCUUGGCUGUGAGGUAAACAGGAGAAAAUGAGAAGGUGGUUCUGGAGGACCCGACCGAAUUUGCUUUCGUGACAGGGUCAAGCGCCCUUUCCUCGCCGGCCGCAGCCCUCACCAAAGGGGAUUUGGGGGCCUCCGGACAGGGGUCCUGAAGGUUUUGAAUUGUUCAAUCUCUGGGGGUACAGGAACCCCUGCAGGAGGUUUCAAAGGCAAGAGUUUCGCAGAGAGAAAAAAACCAUGAACUUUGCAGGUUGGUGGCGGAAUCUGGUGAUUUAAGAAAACGUGUUUAAGCCUCGGCCGGGCCGCGCCUGGGCUGUCUGCGGUGCUCUUCCGGAAUUCUCUACAAUAUCUGGAAGUGACCAAGAAAAUUCCAGAACCCGGAGGCUGCGCCGUGGAGAUAAACAUGGGCACCUGGGUAUGUUUGUUUUUAUUGUUAGGACCUAUUUUAUCACAAGCAAAAAAAA
This 603-nucleotide long non-coding RNA is filed under the name Homo sapiens (human). RNAcentral's name for it is "HSALNT0395540". The record is from RNAcentral. Lineage: Eukaryota; Metazoa; Chordata; Mammalia; Primates; Hominidae.